RNAcentral lists this ribosomal RNA (545 nucleotides) under uncultured bacterium. RNAcentral describes it as "bacterial SSU rRNA". It matches the Rfam family "Bacterial small subunit ribosomal RNA", at positions 8 to 526 of the family's 1533-position model. The record is from RNAcentral.
AGAGUUUGAUCAUGGCUCAGAACGAACGCUGGCGGCGUGGAUAAGACAUGCAAGUCGAACGCUAAUCAGUCUGCAGCAAUGUAGAUUGGUUGGAGUGGCGCAAGGGUGCGUAACACGUGGGUAAUUUGCCGUGAAGACUGGGAUAACUUGCUGAAAGGCGAGCUAAUACCGGAUGUGGAAAUUGGGAGGCAUCUUCUGAUUUCUGAAGUUGGGGACCGUAAGGCCUGACGUUUCACGAUAAGCCCGCGGCCUAUCAGCUAGUUGGUGAGGUAACGGCUCACCAAGGCGAAGACGGGUAGCUGGUCUGAGAGGACGACCAGCCACACUGGAACUGAGAGACGGUCCAGACACCUACGGGUGGCAGCAGUCGAGAAUUUUUCUCAAUGGGGGAAACCCUGAAGGAGCGACGCCGCGUGGGGGAUGAAUGGCUUCGGCCCGUAAACCCCUGUCAUUUGCGAACAAUGUGUACUAUUUAAAAGAUGGUGCAUUGAUGGUAGCGAAAGAGGAAGGGACGGCUAACUCUGUGCCAGCCGCCGCGGUAAUAC